AGUGGGAGGGGUAUACUUUGUUGGUUAACACUCCAUAUCAUUACUUUACACCAUUUUAAAUGAGACGUGGAAGUAGAUUUUACAAGCCGCUCAUUGGAAGGAACUACUUUUAGUUCUUUGGAUGGAGGUCGUAUGCAGUAGGCUAAGAACUUAUGAAUGAACAGUGAAGCAAGGGCUAUAUAGCAGCACCAUGUUUAUUUAUGAAAGGCCACGUGUUGGGAUCAUAAGGUUACUCAACAUACACCCUUAUCUCUUUCAACUGUUGAACUUCAUACACUGGAGACUGUUAUCACUGACACUGGGAGUUUCCCUACAGGCAUUCAACCUCUUCAUUAAAAUAAAGGAACCCAAAAAACAUGUAGCCCUUUGUCCCCACCAUAUUUCUGUGAACACAAUGGCAGGGUUGAUCAAUAUUUCCCUAUAUUAAAUAUUUGUUAUUGUAAUGAAACCUGAGAAGUGCCCUUCUUUUAUUUAUGAUUUAUUGACUAUGUAAAUCAAGAUGGAGGGGUUUCGAUUAUUUAUAGAAAAAUAUAAAGUAGAAUUGUUGUAAAAGCUGUUGAAAUGAAGACCUGUCCUCAGAAGUAGUCUAUACUUUACAAAGCUUUAUUUAGAUGUCUGGACAAAGCUGUUUGUUAUUGUCUGACUAUUUUACCAGAUAACAACUUGCUGUUAUGAAGUAAACUUGUAUAAAAUA
Molecule: long non-coding RNA, 694 nt
Organism: Patella vulgata (common limpet)
Lineage: Eukaryota; Metazoa; Mollusca; Gastropoda; Patellidae
Exons: 2
Source: RefSeq, a predicted model, not a curated record